Non-coding RNA from Pipistrellus kuhlii (Kuhl's pipistrelle), 156 nucleotides. RefSeq annotates it as small Cajal body-specific RNA 1. The record is from RefSeq and is a predicted model, not a curated record. Lineage: Eukaryota; Metazoa; Chordata; Mammalia; Chiroptera; Vespertilionidae. The transcript has a single exon.
CAGCACUUGAUACUGAGUUAUCUGUGGCCUAGCCUUGUUUUGUAUCAGAGGCUCGUGGUGUGGUGACAGCUGGUCGAAGUGCAGUAUUUAAAAAGCCACGAGCAUCUUCAGCGCAGUGUGCAGACAUGCUCUGAAUUAUAUCUCAGGGGCACACUG